Daktulosphaira vitifoliae (grape phylloxera) is the source of this 515-nucleotide long non-coding RNA. RefSeq lists it as uncharacterized. Lineage: Eukaryota; Metazoa; Arthropoda; Insecta; Hemiptera; Phylloxeridae. The record is from RefSeq and is a predicted model, not a curated record. The transcript is spliced from 3 exons.
GUAAAGGUUUCUGUAUCUCUAGUCAUUUUACUUUUUGCGUUCGUCUCCAAUUCAGCGUUUUACAUUUCAAGUUAAUUUUUUUUUAUUUCAAAUAAUUACAUUUUUAAAAUUUUAUAAUUUAGCUGUGUAGUCUACAAACAUUUACUGUUGGGAUUCUUUUUGUAUUGUACUUUAUUAUUAUUAUAACACCAUAUUAUGAAGAUUUUAAUUGAAUGGUUAAAUCAUCAUCUGUUACUUUGGUUUUUUGUCAAAUAAAUGGCUAUUUAACUUAUACAAAUGGAUAACAAAAUUAUCUUAUUGGAGUUGAUCUAAACUGAAUGUGAAAUUGAAGAAUAAUUUAUUGUCUUGUGUUUGGCCACCAUCAUAUAUACUCAUCAUAACAGUUAAAAGACAGCAGAAACACAUAUUGGUGUUGACAAAAGAAAAUCUUUACAAAUAGUUGCAAUCAUUUUCUCUUUAAUAUUUAGCAUCUUUUAUAAUUUUAUUUAAUAAAUAUUGUUUAAGUAUUUAUAAAA